GUGGUAGUUUCAGCUGCACAUAUAUUAAAGUUGGAAUGAUGCAGAGAAGAUAGCAUGGCCCUUGUGCAAGGAUGCCACAAUGAGUAAAGCUGUGUGACACUACUCA
Molecule: small nuclear RNA, 106 nt
Organism: Rhineura floridana
Lineage: Eukaryota; Metazoa; Chordata; Lepidosauria; Squamata; Rhineuridae
Source: RefSeq, a predicted model, not a curated record